AUGUCCCUAAGCGUUCCUUCAAGCACUUCACAUGGAGCUUUGAUUUCUUUCAUAUUUGAUUUGAGUAUUUAAUCAAAAGCUUUUGUGAAGUGUUUGGGGGAACUCUUGGUGUCAC
RNAcentral lists this microRNA precursor (115 nucleotides) under Oryza brachyantha (malo sina). Its description in RNAcentral is "mir-395 microRNA precursor family". It matches the Rfam family "mir-395 microRNA precursor family". From Rfam's summary of the family: mir-395 was identified in both Arabidopsis thaliana and Oryza sativa computationally and was later experimentally verified. mir-395 is thought to target mRNAs coding for ATP sulphurylases. The mature sequence is excised from the 3' arm of the hairpin. The record is from Rfam by way of RNAcentral. Lineage: Eukaryota; Viridiplantae; Streptophyta; Magnoliopsida; Poales; Poaceae.